Molecule: ribosomal RNA, 1705 nt
Filed under: Salmonella enterica
Lineage: Bacteria; Pseudomonadati; Pseudomonadota; Gammaproteobacteria; Enterobacterales; Enterobacteriaceae
Description: partial 23S ribosomal RNA
Rfam family: Bacterial large subunit ribosomal RNA
Source: RNAcentral
CGUAUCACCCAAGACAACUUUACGGAGUUGACGAUUGACGGAGCGAAGCGACGUCAAAGCGUUCAUUAAAGUCGAGUUGGCUUAGGGAUACGUUCGUUGGGUAGGGGAGCGUUCUGUAAGCCUGUGAAGGUGUGUCGUGAGGCAUGCUGGAGGUAUCAGAAGUGCGAAUGCUGACAUAAGUAACGAUAAAGCGGGUGAAAAGCCCGCUCGCCGGAAGACCAAGGGUUCCUGUCCAACGUUAAUCGGGGCAGGGUGAGUCGACCCCUAAGGCGAGGCCGAAAGGCGUAGUCGAUGGGAAACGGGUUAAUAUUCCCGUACUUGGUGUUACUGCGAAGGGGGGACGGAGAAGGCUAUGUUGGCCGGGCGACGGUUGUCCCGGUUUAAGCGUGUAGGUGUGUGUUCCAGGUAAAUCCGGUUCACUUUAACACUGAGGCGUGACGACGAGGCACUACGGUGCUGAAGCAACAAAUGCCCUGCUUCCAGGAAAAGCCUCUAAGCAUCAGGUAACAUCAAAUCGUACCCCAAACCGACACAGGUGGUCAGGUAGAGAAUACCAAGGCGCUUGAGAGAACUCGGGUGAAGGAACUAGGCAAAAUGGUGCCGUAACUUCGGGAGAAGGCACGCUGACACGUAGGUGAAGUGAUUUACUCAUGGAGCUGAAGUCAGUCGAAGAUACCAGCUGGCUGCAACUGUUUAUUAAAAACACAGCACUGUGCAAACACGAAAGUGGACGUAUACGGUGUGACGCCUGCCCGGUGCCGGAAGGUUAAUUGAUGGGGUCAGCGCAAGCGAAGCUCCUGAUCGAAGCCCCGGUAAACGGCGGCCGUAACUAUAACGGUCCUAAGGUAGCGAAAUUCCUUGUCGGGUAAGUUCCGACCUGCACGAAUGGCGUAAUGAUGGCCAGGCUGUCUCCACCCGAGACUCAGUGAAAUUGAACUCGCUGUGAAGAUGCAGUGUACCCGCGGCAAGACGGAAAGACCCCGUGAACCUUUACUAUAGCUUGACACUGAACAUUGAGCCUUGAUGUGUAGGAUAGGUGGGAGGCUUUGAAGUGUGGACGCCAGUCUGCAUGGAGCCGACCUUGAAAUACCACCCUUUAAUGUUUGAUGUUCUAACGUGGACCCGUAAUCCGGGUUGCGGACAGUGUCUGGUGGGUAGUUUGACUGGGGCGGUCUCCUCCUAAAGAGUAACGGAGGAGCACGAAGGUUGGCUAAUCCUGGUCGGACAUCAGGAGGUUAGUGCAAUGGCAUAAGCCAGCUUGACUGCGAGCGUGACGGCGCGAGCAGGUGCGAAAGCAGGUCAUAGUGAUCCGGUGGUUCUGAAUGGAAGGGCCAUCGCUCAACGGAUAAAAGGUACUCCGGGGAUAACAGGCUGAUACCGCCCAAGAGUUCAUAUCGACGGCGGUGUUUGGCACCUCGAUGUCGGCUCAUCACAUCCUGGGGCUGAAGUAGGUCCCAAGGGUAUGGCUGUUCGCCAUUUAAAGUGGUACGCGAGCUGGGUUUAGAACGUCGUGAGACAGUUCGGUCCCUAUCUGCCGUGGGCGCUGGAGAACUGAGGGGGGCUGCUCCUAGUACGAGAGGACCGGAGUGGACGCAUCACUGGUGUUCGGGUUGUCAUGCCAAUGGCACUGCCCGGUAGCUAAAUGCGGAAGAGAUAAGUGCUGAAAGCAUCUAAGCACGAAACUUGCCCCGAGAUGAGUUCUCCC